Molecule: ribosomal RNA, 468 nt
Filed under: uncultured bacterium
Lineage: Bacteria
Description: partial 16S ribosomal RNA
Rfam family: Bacterial small subunit ribosomal RNA
Source: RNAcentral
GACGAACGCUGGCGGCGUGCUUAACACAUGCAAGUCGAACGGAAAGGCCCUGCUUUUGUGGGGUGCGCGAGUGGCGAACGGGUGAGUAACACGUGAGUAACCUGCCCUUGACUGUGGGAUAACUUCAGGAAACUGGGGCUAAUACCGGAUAGGAGCUCCUGCUGCAUGGUGGGGGUUGGAAAGUUUCGGCGGUUGGGGAUGGACUCGCGGCUUAUCAGCUUGUUGGUGGGGUAGUGGCUUACCAAGGCUUUGACGGGUAGCAGGCCUGAGAGGGUGACCGGCCACAUUAGGACUGCGAUACGGCCCAGACUCCUACGGGAGGCAGCAGUGGGGAAUAUUGUACAGUGGGCGGAAGCCGGCUGCAGCAACGCCGCGGGCGGGAUGACGGCCUUCGGGUUGUAAACAGCUUUCGCCUGUGACGAAGAGUGAGUGACGGUAAUGGGUAAAGAAGCACCGGCUAACUACGUG